RNAcentral lists this ribosomal RNA (253 nucleotides) under uncultured bacterium. RNAcentral describes it as "partial 16S ribosomal RNA". It matches the Rfam family "Bacterial small subunit ribosomal RNA", at positions 524 to 776 of the family's 1533-position model. The record is from RNAcentral.
UACAGAGGGUGCAAGCGUUGUUCGGAAUUAUUGGGCGUAAAGAGCGUGUAGGCGGCCAAACAGGUCCGUUGUGAAAACUGGAGGCUCAACCUCCAGACGUCGACGGAAACCGUGUGGCUAGAGUCCGGAAGAGGAGAGUGGAAUUCCUGGUGUAGCGGUGAAAUGCGCAGAUAUCAGGAAGAACACCAAUGGCGAAGGCAGCUCUCUGGGACGGUACUGACGCUGAGACGCGAAAGCGUGGGGAGCGAACAGG